AUUGAACGCUGGCGGCAUGCCUUACACAUGCAAGUCGAACGGUAACAGGCCGCAAGGUGCUGACGAGUGGCGAACGGGUGAGUAAUACAUCGGAACGUGCCCGAUCGUGGGGGAUAACGGAGCGAAAGCUGCGCUAAUACCGCAUACGAUCUGAGGAUGAAAGCGGGGGACCGUAAGGCCUCGCGCGAUCGGAGCGGCCGAUGUCAGAUUAGGUAGUUGGUGGGGUAAAGGCUCACCAAGCCGACGAUCUGUAGCUGGUCUGAGAGGACGACCAGCCACACUGGGACUGAGACACGGCCCAGACUCCUACGGGAGGCAGCAGUGGGAAUUUGGACAAUGGGCGCAAGCCUGAUCCAGCAAUGCCGCGUGCAGGAAGAAGG
Molecule: ribosomal RNA, 380 nt
Filed under: uncultured bacterium
Lineage: Bacteria
Description: bacterial SSU rRNA
Rfam family: Bacterial small subunit ribosomal RNA
Source: RNAcentral